AUGUAUGAAGAUAUGCACUGGGCUCUGAGCAGCAAACAUUGUUGCCUUAUGAUGGAGAUGCAUUUGCCUAGAAAGCAUUGGCUGAUGU
This 88-nucleotide small nucleolar RNA is filed under the name Triticum aestivum (bread wheat). The record is from RNAcentral. Lineage: Eukaryota; Viridiplantae; Streptophyta; Magnoliopsida; Poales; Poaceae.